GUGCUCUGUGUUCCAGCAUUGUGUCAAUAAUAAGUGUUGCUGUGAAGAGAACAAUAGUCAGACUGAAUGUUGAACAUCAGCUAGUUUCUCCUGCUGAUUUAAACCUUGUUGGACAGAUGGAACAUUGGCUGUGGAUUAUUCUAGCUGCUCUUUUCUUUGAGUGUAAAGGAGACUCAGUGACACAGACAGAAGGACAUGUUGCUGCUGCUCAAGGAGAAUCUGUGACUCUGGGAUGUUCUUAUGACAGCAGCGUAACUCCAACGUUGUUCUGGUAUCAACAAGAAGAAACUGGUUCUCCAAAGUACAUGCUGCAACAGCUUUCAUCAAGAAACAUCAAAGCUCCAGACUUUAACGAUGACAGAUUUGACACUGACCUCGACAGCAGCAAGAAAUCCUUUAAUCUGACGAUCCAGGAUCUCCGUCUGUCAGACUCUGCUGUGUACUACUGUGCUCUGCAGCCCACAGUGACAGGAAACACCAGAACUCUGUACAAGAACCUGCAAUACCCCAUAACAUCCACUAGAGGGCCUCACACACUGGAUGUUUGGAAUUUUUUUUAGCCCAAAUCAACUCAGGUUCAACAGAUUCAUCGUAAUUAAAUGAAAUAAACAAAAUAUAAA
This is a non-coding RNA of Cyprinodon tularosa, 620 nucleotides long. Lineage: Eukaryota; Metazoa; Chordata; Actinopteri; Cyprinodontiformes; Cyprinodontidae. The record is from the annotation of a RefSeq genome assembly.